This 497-nucleotide ribosomal RNA is filed under the name uncultured bacterium. RNAcentral's name for it is "partial 16S ribosomal RNA". It matches the Rfam family "Bacterial small subunit ribosomal RNA", at positions 28 to 507 of the family's 1533-position model. The record is from RNAcentral.
GAUGAACGCUGGCGGCGUGCCUAAUACAUGCAAGUCGAGCGAACAGACGAGGAGCUUGCUCCUCUGACGUUAGCGGCGGAUGGGUGAGUAACACGUGGAUAACCUACCUAUAAGACUGGGAUAACUUCGGGAAACCGGAGCUAAUACCGGAUAAUAUAUUGAACCGCAUGGUUCAAUAGUGAAAGACGGUUUUGCUGUCACUUAUAGCUGGAUCCGCGCCGCAUUAGCUAGUUGGUAAGGUAACGGCUUACCAAGGCAACGAUGCGUAGCCGACCUGAGAGGGUGAUCGGCCACACUGGAACUGAGACACGGUCCAGACUCCUACGGGAGGCAGCAGUAGGGAAUCUUCCGCAAUGGGCGAAAGCCUGACGGAGCAGCGCCGCGUGAGUGAUGAAGGGCUUCGGAGCGGAAGACUCUGUUAGUAGGGAAGAACAAAUGUGUAAGUAACUAUGCACGUCUUGACGGUACCUAGUCAGAAAGCCACGGCUAACUACGUG